Molecule: ribosomal RNA, 254 nt
Filed under: uncultured bacterium
Lineage: Bacteria
Description: partial 16S ribosomal RNA
Rfam family: Bacterial small subunit ribosomal RNA
Source: RNAcentral
UACGGGGGGAGCAAGCGUUGUUCGGAUUUACUGGGCGUAAAGGGCGCGUAGGCGGCCACCGCAAGUCAAUUGUGAAAUCUCCGGGCUCAACCCGGAAAGGUCAACUGAUACUGCGGGGCUAGAGUGCAGAAGGGGCAACUGGAAUUCUCGGUGUAGCGGUGAAAUGCGUAGAUAUCGAGAGGAACACCAAUGGCGAAGGCAGCUCGCUGGGACGGUACUGACGCUGAGACGCGAAAGCGUGGGGAGCAAACAGG